GUAGGGGGCAAGCGUUAUCCGGAUUUACUGGGUGUAAAGGGAGCGUAGACGGCAAGGCAAGUCUGAUGUGAAAACCCAGGGCUUAACCCUGGGACUGCAUUGGAAACUGUCUGGCUCGAGUGCCGGAGAGGUAAGCGGAAUUCCUAGUGUAGCGGUGAAAUGCGUAGAUAUUAGGAAGAACACCAGUGGCGGAGGCGGCUUACUGGACGGUAACUGACGUUGAGGCUCGAAAGCGUGGGGGGCAAACAGGAUUAGAUACCCUGGUAGUCCACGCCGUAAACGAUGAAUGCUAGGUGUUGGGGAGCAAAGCUCUUCGGUGCCGCCGCAAACGCAUUAAGCA
RNAcentral lists this ribosomal RNA (340 nucleotides) under uncultured bacterium. RNAcentral describes it as "bacterial SSU rRNA". It matches the Rfam family "Bacterial small subunit ribosomal RNA", at positions 527 to 866 of the family's 1533-position model. The record is from RNAcentral.